RNAcentral lists this ribosomal RNA (468 nucleotides) under uncultured bacterium. Its description in RNAcentral is "partial 16S ribosomal RNA". It matches the Rfam family "Bacterial small subunit ribosomal RNA", at positions 28 to 507 of the family's 1533-position model. The record is from RNAcentral.
GACGAACGCUGGCGGCGUGCUUAACACAUGCAAGUCGAACGGAAAGGCCCUGCUUUUGUGGGGUGCUCGAGUGGCGAACGGGUGAGUAACACGUGAGUAACCUGCCCUUGACUUUGGGAUAACUUCAGGAAACUGGGGCUAAUACCGGAUAGGAGCUCCUGCUGCAUGGUGGGGGUUGGAAAGUUUCGGCGGUUGGGGAUGGACUCGCGGCUUAUCAGCUUGUUGGUGGGGUAGUGGCUUACCAAGGCUUUGACGGGUAGCCGGCCUGAGAGGGUGACCGGCCACAUUGGGACUGAGAUACGGACCAGACUCCUACAGGAGGCAGCAGUGGGGAAUAUUGCACAAUGGGCGGAAGCCUGAUGCAGCAACGCCGCGUGCGGGAUGACGGCCUUCGGGUUGUAAACCGCUUUCGCCUGUGACGAAGCGUGAGUGACGGUAAUGGGUAAAGAAGCACCGGCUAACUACGUG